RNAcentral lists this long non-coding RNA (1197 nucleotides) under Sus scrofa (pig). Its description in RNAcentral is "lncRNA (ENSSSCG00040040983.1)". The record is from RNAcentral. Lineage: Eukaryota; Metazoa; Chordata; Mammalia; Artiodactyla; Suidae.
GUUAGUGUUAGGACAACUCCUGCCUCCCUAAGCAAAAGAGUGCUGGGGGUGGGAACACAUGGCAGGGGAGAAGCCCGAGCAGAAACUCUAACGUGGGCUUCCUAAGUUCCUGAAGAAAAAAGGUUUCAGUAUGUGGCAUGUACAAAGAGCUGGAGCGUUUAUGAAGUGCACAAAAUAUAUUGCAGUCCAAUUGGAUAAAAUCCCAUAUGAACCAAGAUAAAUAUAUUCUUUAUGUCUCCUUUAAAAAAUAAGUCAAAACAGGAGUUUCCAUCAAGGCUCAGCAGUAUCCAUGAGGACUCAGGUUCAAUCCUUGGUCUUGCUCAGUGGGUCAAGGAUCCAGCGUUGCUGUGAGCUGUGGUGUAGGUCACAGACACAGCUUGGAUUCCGCAUGGCUGUAGCUGUGGUGUAGGCCAGCAGCUGUAGUUCUGAUUCGACCCCUAGCCUGGGAACUUCCAUAUGCCUCAGGUGCAGCCCUAAAAAGACAAGGAAAAAAAAAAAGAGUCAAAACAAAACCAAAAAAUGAAAUCACAAACAUCCAUGCCAGUUUUUCUUUUUCUUUUCUCCUUUCCUUUUUUUUUUUUUUUUUUGAUCUUUUUAGGGCCACACCUGUGGCAUAUGGAGGUUCUCAGGCUAGGGGAUGAAUCGAAGCUGCAGCCACCGGCCUACACCACAGCCACAGCAAAGCAGGAUCCGAGCUGUGUCUGUGACCUACACCACAGCUCACAGUGACACCGGAUCCUUAACCCACUGAAUGAGGCCAGGGAUGGAACCCAUGUCCUCAUGAACACUAGCCAGGUUUGCUAAUCACUAAGCCACAACGGGAAUUCCCAUGCCAGUCUUUCCCUAUGUUUCAGCUGCCAGAGGUUUAUUUAAAUGCUUUCUGGGGAUCUGCUGAGUGUCAGGUCCUGGAGAGAGUUGAGUGGGAUCCCUGAGACAAGAAUCCGAGUGCAGGUCUCAAGACUACCAACGGACAUUUAUGAGGCCGGUAGUCCCUGCUGUGCACAGCUACCUCUUCUGUUAUCUGAAGACCUAGCAUUGAUAGUGCGCUUGGUACUCCGUGAUGUGAUGGAUGGUGUCUGUGUUCCUACAAAGCAGUGCCUCUGAUGGAGAGAUGGCUUGAUUGGAAUGGCAGCGGUGGAGAGAGUGAGUAGACAGAUUUGAAUGGUGUUUGAUGGAAUAAAUUACUUAGAAGUGCCA